RNAcentral lists this ribosomal RNA (253 nucleotides) under uncultured bacterium. RNAcentral describes it as "partial 16S ribosomal RNA". It matches the Rfam family "Bacterial small subunit ribosomal RNA", at positions 524 to 776 of the family's 1533-position model. The record is from RNAcentral.
UACGUAGGUGGCAAGCGUUAUCCGGAAUUAUUGGGCGUAAAGCGCGCGCAGGCGGUUCUUUAAGUCUGAUGUGAAAGCCCACGGCUCAACCGUGGAGGGUCAUUGGAAACUGGGGAACUUGAGUGCAGGAGAGAAAAGUGGAAUUCCACGUGUAGCGGUGAAAUGCGUAGAGAUGUGGAGGAACACCAGUGGCGAAGGCGGCUUUUUGGCCUGUAACUGACGCUGAGGCGCGAAAGCGUGGGGAGCAAACAGG